GGGAGUGUGCCCGAGUGGACAAAGGGAGCAGACUGUAAAUCUGCCGGCGAUUGCCUUCGGUGGUUCGAAUCCACCCGCUCCCA
RNAcentral lists this transfer RNA (83 nucleotides) under Phycisphaerae bacterium. Its description in RNAcentral is "tRNA-Tyr". It matches the Rfam family "tRNA". From Rfam's summary of the family: Transfer RNA (tRNA) molecules are approximately 80 nucleotides in length. Their secondary structure includes four short double-helical elements and three loops (D, anti-codon, and T loops). Lineage: Bacteria; Pseudomonadati; Planctomycetota; Phycisphaerae. The record is from RNAcentral.